GACUGAACCAGCCAUGCCGCGUGCAGGAAGACGGUCCUAUGGAUUGUAAACUGCUUUUAUACAGGAAGAAACCACUCCCACGUGUGGGAGCUUGACGGUACUGUAGGGAAUAAGGAUCGGCUAACUCCGUGCCAGCAGCCGCGGUAAUACGGAGGAUCCAAGCGUUAUCCGGAAUCAUUGGGUUUAAAGGGUCCGUAGGCGGUCUUAUAAGUCAGUGGUGAAAGCCCAUCGCUCAACGAUGGAACUGCCAUUGAUACUGUAAGACUUGAAUGCUUAGGAAGUAACUAGAAUAUGUAGUGUAGCGGUGAAAUGCUUAGAUAUUACAUGGAAUACCAAUUGCGAAGGCAGGUUACUACUAAGUUGAUUGACGCUGAUGGACGAAAGCGUGGGGAGCGAACAGGAUUAGAUACCCUGGUAGUCCACGCCGUAAACGAUGGAUACUAGCUGUUCGGAAGCAAUCUGAGUGGCUAAGCGAAAGUGAUAAGUAUCCCACC
RNAcentral lists this ribosomal RNA (494 nucleotides) under uncultured Flavobacterium sp. RNAcentral's name for it is "bacterial SSU rRNA". It matches the Rfam family "Bacterial small subunit ribosomal RNA", at positions 381 to 873 of the family's 1533-position model. Lineage: Bacteria; Pseudomonadati; Bacteroidota; Flavobacteriia; Flavobacteriales; Flavobacteriaceae. The record is from RNAcentral.